Oncorhynchus tshawytscha (Chinook salmon) is the source of this 1334-nucleotide long non-coding RNA. The record is from Ensembl. NCBI's taxonomy places the organism in Eukaryota, Metazoa, Chordata, Actinopteri, Salmoniformes, Salmonidae.
UGGUGGUAGUAGUAGUAGCAGCAGCACUGGUGGUAGUAGUAGUAGCAGCAGCACUGGUGGUAGUAGUAGUAGUAGCAGCAGCAGCACUGGUGGUAGUAGUAGCAGCAGCACUGGUGGUAGUAGUAGUAGUAGCAGCAGCACUGGUGGUAGUAGUAGUAGUAGCAGCAGCACUGGUGGUAGUAGUAGUAGUAGUAGUAGUAGCAGCAGCACUGGUGGUAGUAGUAGUAGUAGUAGUAGUAGUAGCAGCAGCACUGGUGGUAGUAGUAGUAGUAGCAGCAGCACUGGUGGUAGUAGUAGUAGUAGCAGCAGCACUGGUAGUAGUAGUAGUAGCAGCAGCAGCACUGCUGGUAGUAGUAGUAGCAGCAGCAGCGCUGGUAGUAGUAGUAGUAGUAGCAGCAGCACUGGUAGUAGUAGUAGUAGUAGUAGUAGUAGUAGUAGUAGCAGCAGCAGCACUGGUAGUAGUAGUAGCAGCAGCAGCACUGGUAGUAGUAGCAGCAGCAGCACUGGUAGUAGCAGCAGCAGCAGUAGUAGUAGUAGUAGCAGCAGCACUGGUAGUAGUAGUAGCAGCAGCACUGGUAGUAGUAGCAGCAGCACUGGUGGCAGCAGCACUGGUGGUGGUAGUAGUAGUAGUAGCAGCAGGACUGGUGGUAGUAGUCAUAGCAGCACUGGUGGUAGUAGUAGUAGUAGUAGUAGUAGUAGUAGUAGUAGUAGUAGUAGUAGCAGCACAAGUAGUAGUAGUAGUAGUAGUAGUAGCAGCAGCUCAGUACCUCUGCUGUGUGUGUACCUGACUGAUCAUCAGUAUCACAGCUCCUGUAUACUACCAGUAUGUGUUGCUGCUGUUCCACCCAGGGAGCUUCCAGCAGCCAGAGCACAUAUUAAUCUAACAACCAGCCAGACAAGUCAGUGACUCAUCAGGGUCCAUGCUCUGAUAAGUAGUCUAGAAUAAGGUUCCGUUCUCGGGUCCAGUCAGUGUUUGCUACGCAGCUGUAACCCUGUCCUGUUUCUGUAAUUACCGUUCUAGACAGGGAUGAGAAGAGGUUGGUUGGAGGUCACCAGAGAAACUCUAGCAUGCUUUUUGACUUGACAUUUAUGGUGAGUGAUGUACUUGACGGUCUUUGGAACCUUCUACCCCACACAUACAAUUAUCUGUAAGGUCCCUCAUCUCUCUACCCCACACACAAUUAUCUGUAAGGUCCCUCAGUCCAGCAGUGAAUUUCAAAUCCAUUUUUAUUUGUCACACGUGUUUAGUAGAUAUUAUUGUGGGUGUAGUGAAAUGCUUGUGCUUCAAGCUCCGAAACUGCAGUAAUAUCUUAAGUUUCACAACAUAUAUCCCC